AUCCCAUGAUUUGGACACUUCCUAAUCAACUACUUAAAUGUGUUCCAUGCAUAAUGAUAGCUCUCCCUAUCUUUCUAUUGAAAGGUUUGAAUCUCCGAUCUGAUUUU
This 107-nucleotide small nucleolar RNA is filed under the name Olea europaea subsp. europaea. RNAcentral's name for it is "Plant small nucleolar RNA R71". It matches the Rfam family "Plant small nucleolar RNA R71". Rfam says of the family: R71 is a member of the C/D box family of snoRNAs containing the C (UGAUGA) and D (CUGA) box motifs. The record is from Rfam by way of RNAcentral. Lineage: Eukaryota; Viridiplantae; Streptophyta; Magnoliopsida; Lamiales; Oleaceae.